UUAAACUGAAAUGAGAGGCCUUGUGAAAGAGUGAACCCCAUCCCUGGGUGUUUAGUCAAUCCUGGAUGGCCCUAUGUGGAGGAUGCUGAAGAGAGCAUCCUUUGGGAGUUGGUCUAUAUUAACUAAUAGAAUCCUUUCCAGUUCCCAAGACUUUAUUCUAAAGAUUUCCAGAUGGAAAUGGUAAUCCUCCAUUUCUCCACCUCUGCAUUCACCAAACACCGACUACAUCUUUGAAGGAUUACUCUUGCAAAAUAACUUGGAAACUCCAGACUGUUUUGUUUAUUUGAAGAGCCCCUGACCAGGAACACUAGGGAUAAACUGAGACUACGUGGAGUUGAUGAAGCUCCCCACAGUAAGGUAGCACACUCAUUUCCAGAUGAAAUUGACCAAGCAGAUGGGCUCAAAAGGGUAAGAAACGCGGUUGGAAUGGGUUAAAUGCAUAGGAAGGCAUUCUUGUUUUCCACCCUCUCCCUUACUUCUGACCAGUAAGCUACGCUGGUUAAGUGGGUCACAGGAGAGGCUCCCAGGUGGCCCAGCCAAACUCAGGAGGUGACACUAGUGGCCCUCUGACCGGAGGGCAGCGUUUUCCAUUACAGAAGUGAAAUGAGGCUCUAAGACUGGAAAGGGGACAUUGGCAUUGGAAGGCGCCUGACUGUUACAACCUGGAGCAAAAACUCAAAGCUUUCGGUUUCCCUCCCGCCCUCCCCCCACCAUAUUUCUUUUAGAAAAGCAACAAAUUCUGGCUGAUUAUCACUUAUGCUCCACCCCAUUCUUCUAAGUCAGCUUUUGUGCAGGAAAAUAGAGACCUGCUUUCUUUGGCUUAUCAGCGUCCCAGGAAAGGGGAAAGGAGCGUCUGGCCUGCUAUCUGCAUCUUGCCUGGGGACAAUGAAACGCUGAAAGCAGGCUCCACGGGCAGGGGCUGCCACUUCAGACCCACAGAGUAUCUGCAAGGACCAGGGAAGGAGAGGAUGGAGGAGGGGCUCCGCUUAGCCUGCCGAAAACAUAAUAGCCCCUGGGGUGGGCUGCUGUGAACAGGAAGGGCGUGGGCAGGCUCUGAGCGCAGCUGCCGUUCUGCUCAUGCCGCCCAUUCCCACAGCCUUUGAUCAGCAGGCGAAUGGCAUUCUGUACCCUGAGAUAAAUGCCUGGUCAGAGGGUGUGGGUGGCUGUGGAGGGGGAUAAGGAUUAAAGACGAAGGUGUUUUAUAGACAGCCUGAAGGAUGUGUGUUUCAAAACUGGGAUCAGGGAGGUGCUAGGUACGAGGGAACAGAAAGGUUUCCCAUUGGUGCAUUCGUUCACUCAUUCAUUAACAUUUGUUUUGCACCCAGAAAGUUCAAGGUACCUGGCUCGACACUGUAGGGGACGCAAUGGUGAAUAAUACAAGCCAAUUCUAGUCGAAUACGGUGAAUCUCAAGUGUGGGGAGAUUAUUUGGGAUGUCAGAAAUUGCAGAGCGGAGUAGCAAGAGGUG
This 1466-nucleotide long non-coding RNA is filed under the name Equus caballus (horse). Its description in RNAcentral is "lncRNA (ENSECAG00000040732.2)". The record is from RNAcentral. Lineage: Eukaryota; Metazoa; Chordata; Mammalia; Perissodactyla; Equidae.